GCCACCGUAGCUCAGCUGGUUAGAGCGCCCGGCUGUUAACCGGGCGGUCGCCGGUUCGAACUCCUAUGAAAGUCCGGCCGGUGGCG
Molecule: transfer RNA, 86 nt
Filed under: marine sediment metagenome
Rfam family: tRNA
About the family: Transfer RNA (tRNA) molecules are approximately 80 nucleotides in length. Their secondary structure includes four short double-helical elements and three loops (D, anti-codon, and T loops).
Source: RNAcentral